RNAcentral lists this ribosomal RNA (255 nucleotides) under uncultured bacterium. Its description in RNAcentral is "partial 16S ribosomal RNA". It matches the Rfam family "Bacterial small subunit ribosomal RNA", at positions 523 to 776 of the family's 1533-position model. The record is from RNAcentral.
UAGCGUAGGGUGCAAGCGUUAUCCGGAAUUAUUGGGCGUAAAGAGCUCGUAGGCGGUUUGUCGCGUCUGCUGAUGAAAACUGGAGGCUCAACCUCCAGCCUGCAGUGGGUACGGGCAAACUAGAGUGCGGUAGGGGAGAUUGGAAUUCCUGGUGUAGCGGUGGAGUGCGCAGAUAUCAGGAGGAACACCGAUGGCGAAGGCAGAUCUCUGGGCCGUAACUGACGCUGAGGAGCGAAAGCAUGGGGAGCGAACAGG